AGGAAGUUCUUCACUUUCAAGCUAAAAGCAAUAUAAAUGGAUUUCCGUAUUAUAAGCGCCUAAAUUGUCUGAUGGGCGUUUAACCUGUGAUUGACAUGUGCCUGGACAGCUGAGAAUAUAAUGGAAAGACCCACUCCAGUGAUCUUUAAAAGCUGAGACACAAAAGCAUUGGAUAAUAAUUAAUAACACAAAACCUGCAUGAGAAAAUAAUCCUAUGGAAACUGAAUGCUCACUGAACUAAGCUUGAAUGCAUCGUUAUACGAUAUAUAAAUAUAAUUUUUUGCACCACUGAAAGGAUUCCGCACUUAAAUUACCCACAUCUAAGCUAAAAAGUAUGCAUGGCAUUAGAUAUCCAUAUUUCCGUAUUAUCAGCACGUAAAUUGCGCGAUGGGCGUUUAAUCUUUGAUUGGGAUGUGGACAGCGUGUCGUGCUAAGCAAAGCGAACGUUAAAUAAAUAUCUUAAAUUCGAAAGCACAAGAAAGCAGAAUAGACGUGGACUUAAAUAUUGUAAAUGUUGUGAAAUGGCAAUAAGGUGAAAAACGCAAAAAUGAGAAAAGCAGCUUUCAAUUCCAGAAGUAUUGUAAAUGGGCAUUGGAUAAAAGGAUCAUCGUUGUAUAUCAUCAGGUCAAUUAAAGUUGC
RNAcentral lists this small RNA (639 nucleotides) under Drosophila virilis. RNAcentral describes it as "GJ26239". Lineage: Eukaryota; Metazoa; Arthropoda; Insecta; Diptera; Drosophilidae. The record is from RNAcentral.